UACGUAGGGUGCGAGCGUUGUCCGGAAUUACUGGGCGUAAAGAGCUCGUAGGUGGUUUGUCGCGUUGUUCGUGAAAACCGGGGGCUUAACCCUCGGCGUGCGGGCGAUACGGGCAGACUUGAGUACUGCAGGGGAGACUGGAAUUCCUGGUGUAGCGGUGGAAUGCGCAGAUAUCAGGAGGAACACCGGUGGCGAAGGCGGGUCUCUGGGCAGCAACUGACGCUGAGGAGCGAAAGCGUGGGGAGCGAACAGG
RNAcentral lists this ribosomal RNA (253 nucleotides) under uncultured bacterium. Its description in RNAcentral is "partial 16S ribosomal RNA". It matches the Rfam family "Bacterial small subunit ribosomal RNA", at positions 524 to 776 of the family's 1533-position model. The record is from RNAcentral.